UACGGGGGGAGCAAGCGUUGUUCGGAUUUACUGGGCGUAAAGGGCGCGUAGGCGGCCAGCACAAGUCAGUUGUGAAAUCUCCGAGCUUAACUCGGAACGGUCAACUGAUACUGUGCGGCUAGAGUGCAGAAGGGGCAACUGGAAUUCCCGGUGUAGCGGUGAAAUGCGCAGAUAUCGGGAGGAACACCAAUAGCGAAGGCAGCUCGCUGGGACGGUACUGACGCUAAGGCGCGAAAGCGUGGGGAGCGAACAGG
Molecule: ribosomal RNA, 254 nt
Filed under: uncultured bacterium
Lineage: Bacteria
Description: partial 16S ribosomal RNA
Rfam family: Bacterial small subunit ribosomal RNA
Source: RNAcentral